Molecule: long non-coding RNA, 103 nt
Organism: Maniola jurtina (meadow brown)
Lineage: Eukaryota; Metazoa; Arthropoda; Insecta; Lepidoptera; Nymphalidae
Exons: 3
Source: RefSeq, a predicted model, not a curated record
CAUAUAUACAACUGGUUGAAAUAUCGACAGUUAGAUAAAACAAACAAAUCGUGGUAUGUAUCCGUUAUUUUUAAUAUAAAAUAUUGUUAAACCACGAAAUAAG